RNAcentral lists this ribosomal RNA (466 nucleotides) under uncultured bacterium. RNAcentral describes it as "bacterial SSU rRNA". It matches the Rfam family "Bacterial small subunit ribosomal RNA", at positions 28 to 494 of the family's 1533-position model. The record is from RNAcentral.
GACGAACGCUGGCGACGUGCCUAACACAUGCAAGUCAACUUGACUGAAGGAGCAAUCUGACAGUAGAGUGGCGCAAAGGGUGCGUAACGCGUAAGUAACUUGCCCAAGGUAAGGAAUAACGUCGAGAAAUCGGCGCUAAUACCUCAUAAUGCAGCGGAUCCGCAUGGAUAUGUUGUUAAAGGUUUACCGCCUUGGGGAUAGGCUUGCGUCUGAUUAGUUAGUUGGUGUGGUAACGGCACACCAAGGCUACGAUCAGUAACUGGUCUGAGAGGAUGAUCAGUCACACUGGAACUGAGACACGGUCCAGACUCCUACGGGAGGCAGCAGUGAGGAAUAUUGGGCAAUGCUCGAAAGAGUGACCCAGCAACGCCGCGUGGAGGAUGAAGGUAUUCAUAUCGUAAACUCCUGUGAGAGCAGACGAAGACAGAUUAUUAAUCUGGAUGACUGUAUGCUCAGAGGAAGCCCC